UGGGGUGUAGCUCAGUGGUAGAGCACUUUCCUAGCAUGUGCAAGGCCCUGGGUUCAGUCCCCAGCAACACAC
This 72-nucleotide transfer RNA is filed under the name Marmota marmota marmota (Alpine marmot). It matches the Rfam family "tRNA". From Rfam's summary of the family: Transfer RNA (tRNA) molecules are approximately 80 nucleotides in length. RNAcentral also lists the same sequence under 1 other name. Lineage: Eukaryota; Metazoa; Chordata; Mammalia; Rodentia; Sciuridae. The record is from Rfam by way of RNAcentral.